RNAcentral lists this ribosomal RNA (784 nucleotides) under uncultured bacterium. RNAcentral describes it as "SSU rRNA". It matches the Rfam family "Bacterial small subunit ribosomal RNA", at positions 70 to 853 of the family's 1533-position model. The record is from RNAcentral.
CACAGUGUAGCAAUACAUGGGUGGCGACCGGCAAACGGGUGCGGAACACGUACGCAACCUUCCUUCAGGCGGGGAAUAGCCCAGAGAAAUUUGGAUUAAUACCCCAUAAUAUUUUGAGAUGGCAUCAUCUUAUUAUUAAAGCUACGGCACCUGGAGAUGGGCGUGCGGCUGAUUAGGUAGUUGGCGGGGUAAUGGCCCACCAAGCCUACGAUCAGUAGCUGAUGUGAGAGCAUGAUCAGCCACACGGGCACUGAGACACGGGCCCGACUCCUACGGGAGGCAGCAGUAAGGAAUAUUGGUCAAUGGACGCAAGUCUGAACCAGCCAUGCCGCGUGGAGGAUGAAGGUCCUCUGGAUUGUAAACUUCUUUUAUCUGGGACGAAAAAAGGGUUUUCUAACUCGUCUGACGGUACCAGAUGAAUAAGCACCGGCUAACUCCGUGCCAGCAGCCGCGGUAAUACGGAGGGUGCAAGCGUUAUCCGGAUUCACUGGGUUUAAAGGGUGCGUAGGCGGGCAUUUAAGUCAGUGGUGAAAUACCUGAGCUUAACUUGGGAACUGCCAUUGAUACUAUUUGUCUUGAAUGUCGUGGAGGUUAGCGGAAUAUGUCAUGUAGCGGUGAAAUGCUUAGAUAUAACAUAGAACACCUAUUGCGAAGGCAGCUAACUACGCGAAUAUUGACGCUGAGGCACGAAAGCGUGGGGAUCAAACAGGAUUAGAUACCCUGGUAGUCCACGCCCUAAACGAUGAUUACUCGACAUUAGCGAUACACUGUUAGUGUCUGAGCG